RNAcentral lists this ribosomal RNA (613 nucleotides) under uncultured bacterium. Its description in RNAcentral is "bacterial SSU rRNA". It matches the Rfam family "Bacterial small subunit ribosomal RNA", at positions 202 to 803 of the family's 1533-position model. The record is from RNAcentral.
AAAAGGUGGCUAUGCUACCGCUUUUGGAUGGGCCCGCGGUGCAUUAGCUAGUUGGUGGGGUAAAGGCUUACCAAGGCAAUGAUGCGUAGCCGAACUGAGAGGUUGAUCGGCCACAUUGGGACUGAGACACGGCCCAAACUCCUACGGGAGGCAGCAGUAGGGAAUCUUCCACAAUGGGCGAAAGCCUGAUGGAGCAACGCCGCGUGGGUGAAGAAGGUCUUCGGAUCGUAAAACCCUGUUGUUAGAGAAGAAAGUGCGUGAGAGUAACUGUUCACGUUUCGACGGUAUCUAACCAGAAAGCCACGGCUAACUACGUGCCAGCAGCCGCGGUAAUACGUAGGUGGCAAGCGUUAUCCGGAUUUAUUGGGCGUAAAGGGAACGCAGGCGGUCUUUUAAGUCUGAUGUGAAAGCCUUCGGCUUAACCGGAGUAGUGCAUUGGAAACUGGGAGACUUGAGUGCAGAAGAGGAGAGUGGAACUCCAUGUGUAGCGGUGAAAUGCGUAGAUAUAUGGAAGAACACCAGUGGCGAAAGCGGCUCUCUGGUCUGUAACUGACGCUGAGGUUCGAAAGCGUGGGUAGCAAACAGGAUUAGAUACCCUGGUAGUCCACGCCGU